AUGCAAGUCGAACGGUAGAGGGGGCAACCCUUGAGAGUUGGCGAACGGGUGAGUAAUAUAUCGGAACGUGCCCAGUCGUGGGGGAUAACGUAGCGAAAGUUACGCUAAUACCGCAUACGAUCUAAGGAUGAAAGCGGGGGAUCGCAAGACCUCGCGCGAUUGGAGCGGCCGAUAUCAGAUUAGGUAGUUGGUGAGGUAAAGGCUCACCAAGCCGACGAUCUGUAGCUGGUCUGAGAGGACGACCAGCCACACUGGGACUGAGACACGGCCCAGACUCCUACGGGAGGCAGCAGUGGGGGAAAUUUUGGACAAUGGGCGCAAGCCUGAUCCAGCAAUGCCGCGUGCAGGAUGAAGGCCUUCGGGUUGUAAACUGCUUUUGUACGGAACGAAACGGUGAGCUCUAAUACAGUUUGCUAAUGACGGUACCGUAAGAAUAAGCACCGGCUAACUACGUG
Molecule: ribosomal RNA, 455 nt
Filed under: uncultured bacterium
Lineage: Bacteria
Description: bacterial SSU rRNA
Rfam family: Bacterial small subunit ribosomal RNA
Source: RNAcentral